This 240-nucleotide ribosomal RNA is filed under the name uncultured Lactobacillus sp. RNAcentral's name for it is "partial 16S ribosomal RNA". It matches the Rfam family "Bacterial small subunit ribosomal RNA", at positions 122 to 355 of the family's 1533-position model. The record is from RNAcentral. Lineage: Bacteria; Bacillati; Bacillota; Bacilli; Lactobacillales; Lactobacillaceae.
UAACCUGCCCAAGAGAUCGGGAUAACACCUGGAAACAGAUGCUAAUACCGGAUAAUAACAGAUGAUGCCUAUCAACUGUUUAAAAGAUGGUUCUGCUAUCACUCUUGGAUGGACCUGCGGUGCAUUAGCUAGUUGGUAGGGUAACGGCCUACCAAGGCGAUGAUGCAUAGCCGAGUUGAGAGACUGAUCGGCCACAUUGGGACUGAGACACGGCCCAAACUCCUACGGGAGGCAGCAGUA